Molecule: ribosomal RNA, 306 nt
Filed under: uncultured eukaryote
Lineage: Eukaryota
Description: partial 18S ribosomal RNA
Rfam family: Eukaryotic small subunit ribosomal RNA
Source: RNAcentral
CCCUUAGAUGUUCUGGGCCGCACGCGUGCUACACUGAGUGGAUCAGCGGGUCAGGUUGCGCGAAAGCGUUUCCUAAUCUUUAAAUCCGCUCGUGAUGGGGAUUGACGGUUGCAAUUUUCUGUCAUGAACGAGGAAUACCUUGUAAGCGCGGGUCAUCAUCCCGCGCUGAAUACGUCCCUGCCCUUUGUACACACCGCCCGUCGCUCCUACCGAUUUGAGUGAUCCGGUGAACCUUUUGGACCGGGCCGUUCGCGGCCUGGGAAAUCAAGUAAACCACGUCACUUAGAGGAAGGAGAAGUCGUAACA